AUUAAUUAUAUAAAGGUAAAAUUAAGUGUCACGAAAAAAGGUGAGCUAAACAUAUAUGUAUUUAGUAUUAAGUACGUGGCAUAGUAGUUGUAAAUAUAUAUUUAGGGGUGAUAGGCCUUUCAAACUUUUUGAUAACUUGAUGCACACUAAAUGUAUUUAGUACACAUACAGACUUAAAAAGUUAAGCUUUUAAGUGUUUAUUAAAAAUAUGUUGGAUUAUUCGCGCAGGAUAAUUCCUAGCUAUAAAGUAUACUUAUAUUUAAUUUGUGUUAUUAUAUUAAUUAUUGUGCCAGUUAUAUUAAACAUAUGCUUGAUAAUGUUAGUAUUAGUAAAAUAAAAAAGUGCAUUUAAGGAACUCGGCAAAUUUUUCGCACAACUGUUUACCAAAAACAUAGCUGCUUGAAAUAAUAUGCAGUAAUUUCUGCUCCAUGAUUAGUAAAUAGCCGCAGUACUCUGACUGUGCAAAGGUAGCAUAAUCAGUUGGCUUUUAAUUAGAGUCUGGAAUGAAUGAAAACAUGUGUGGAAACUGUCUUAAUGUAUUUUUUUGAAUUUAAUAAGUGCGUGAAAAUGCUAACAAGAAUACAAAAGACGAGAAGACCCUAGAAACUUGAAUUAUUUUUUGUUGGGGCGACAAAAUUACAUUUAACUGAUUUUUUAAUACUUGACGUAAUAAUGAAAGACUAAGUUACUCUAGGGAUAACAGCAUAAUUUAAAUAGUUUGUGACCUCGAUGUUGGACUAGGUUUUAUACUCUUUAGGCAAGAGUAUAAAAUGCUCUGUUCGAGCAACUACACCUACAU
RNAcentral lists this ribosomal RNA (799 nucleotides) under Helix engaddensis. RNAcentral's name for it is "partial 16S ribosomal RNA". Lineage: Eukaryota; Metazoa; Mollusca; Gastropoda; Stylommatophora; Helicidae. The record is from RNAcentral.